UCUGUCAUAGGAUUCCCUGAAGCACAGAAUGAGGAGGAGACUGAGCAAACACGCCCCGGGAAGGCACCAGUUGAACCAAGACAACUCUAAAAAAUAUCAAUCCAUACUCCAAGGUGCCACGAUUCGCCUCUAUGUUUCUGCUGGUUCUCGAUCACCUCCUGUUCCACAGCCUGAGGACUCUGCCAAAUCACAGUGAGACGGGCUGAACUGCACUCCAGGCUCUGCACCAAAAGCACACAAUGCAGCUUCAAAUUCAUGGUCAGCUACUUCAAAAUGAAAGGACCGAGUGACCUUGAAAAACCCAAGUUUGAAAAACUCCAAGAAAUCUCUGACAGGGUCCCAGAUUCCCAAAGGUGAAUCAGAACAGGUAACGGGAAACUCUGCGGCUCAGGGCUCCAAAUAAGCCAGUGGCGCUGGUAUAGAAGCCUGUGUGACAUUUGUCAUCAAUGAUGGCAGUGGCCAUAAUCUGCAAGCAAAUCACCAGUGGAGCCUAUCUUGCCAGACAGGGCACAUGAGCCUGGUCAUCUUGGGGUGAGUCUGUACAGCCCUGAAAAACCAUAUCUGAUGUAGUCAUCUCCCAGACAGCACAUGGUGGGGAAAUAAGAAAUCUAGUCAGGAAGUUUAGUACUUCCUUGAGAAAAGCCCACAGAUCUUUAAGAUGAUUAAAAAUUGAGCUCUUGAGGAGUUCCCACUGUGGCUCAGCAGUAACGAACCCGAUUGGUAUCCAUGAAGAUGCAGGUUCAAACCCUGGCCUUACUCAGUGGGUUAAGAAUCUGGUGUUACCACAAGCUGUGGUGUAGGUUGGCAGCUGUAGCUCUGUCUGAUUCGACCCCUGGCCUAGGAACGUCCAUGGGCUGUGGGUGUGACCCUAAAAAGACAAAUAAAUAAAUAGAAGCCUAGGUGUUUGCAUUUCUAACAUUAACAGCUAAUUAUCCAAAAGGAAACAAAACAUUUGGUGAGUGCCCUGGUCUAGGCUCUUUCACGUCCAUCUACUCAUUAACUCUAAAAUGUCAGAACAUACUGGCAAUUUUUUUUUUCCUGAAAAUCAUCCUGUUUAAGAUUAUUUUUUUAUUUUUCACAGUACUUAUGGAAUUUAGGCAGAAACCUUUAACAUCUAUAAAGUUAUGUAUAAGAACAUGUGAUUAGAAACCAACCCAGAAGCUAAACCCCAAAGAUUCCCAGCUAGAUAAAUUAUCGAUUGUAUCAGGGCGAUAGAAUUAAUAGAAGUGGUGUCUGUCGUCUCUUCUGCUGCCUGUGCCAAAGAAACAAAAACGUCUGCUUGUAUCUGGUCACUCUGAAUCCGCAAAAUGAAGUGUGGCCACUGACGUACAGUUGAACAAACUGAAGCUGCUGCAGGACCCAGGAGUGUGACAGAAACACUGUGCUGGCUGAGCUCAGUGGUUGGAGGGCACUGGGUUCCUCCAGAGUCAUAGGGCACAGGAGAAGUCCCUGCCUUAAACUGAUGAACAGAUACCUGCUUGUUAUGGUCUAGAGACCACGUGCAAAGGUGUAUUGGGGGAUAACAUGAUCUGCCCUCUACUGCUGUUGGCUUUAAAUGCUGGGAACACAAAACAAUUUCCAUUCGAUGGGAGCAAAACAUGCUCAGCCAGGCUGCAAGGACCACUCAGCCCCGCUGUGACCAUGAGCUGGAAAACUGUUUCUACCCCCGCUAAGGGCAACAGCCAUCUCUGAUACUUUAUGGGGCAAAAGAGAGGUGCUGAGCCUCCGAAGUUCAACUGUGACACAGCUGAAGUGCAUUCAAGCUGAUAAUGUAAUAGCUGUUAGAUGACUUUGUUUAGAAAACUAACUGGAGGCAAAGACCUCACUCUGACACCCGGUGAUGGCAUUUUCUUUAACGGCAACAGAUGUUUCCAGAAGGACAGUGAAGAGUGGUCUGACUUCAUUAAUAUCACUCUCCUUCGACUAUAUCAUCCUCUUUCAUAUGAUAAACCAAACGUCUAUCAGGUUUAGCAAAGUUGAAACCUUCUUUGCCUGCAUUACUGAUCCAUAGAAAUAAUCUAGUUUGUUGCUCUAAUUACUAAGAAAUUAAAAUACUGUUUGGAUGCUCUUUGCUGUUAGGCCAAAGCGCUAUGCCGAGAGCUGCCCAAAACUCGGGGAGAUUGUUUCAUUAGCUUUGAAAGUUUCUAAAAUUUAUUUCCCAGUUAGGGUUAUUAUGGACAUUAUUUCAAUUAUAAGCCUGUCAGAAUUCCUCAAAAACAAUUAGGUCUCCUGGAGUGUCACAUUUUAGAGCAUUGUUAAAUAUAUUUGAAUCUUACGAAUUAGAUUCUUUCAUGUAAUUAUCCAAAUUUACUGAUAUUUGAUGAGUAGUUAAGAAAAAAAUAACCAGAGGGGGAGGGAAAGGUAGUAAUAUUCAAUUGUUUAAGACAAGGGUAUAAAAUGGAAUACAAACCUAGUAGAAAUUAAUAAAAGCUUUAUAAAGACUCAAGUAUAAAAAAUUAAAAAUACAAUAUAAAAUAUGUAUGAAUCCUUAUUUUAAUGCACAAAAAGAAGCCUCAAUAACUGUGCCCCAAUUUUCUAAAACAGACUUUGGACCACAGAAAAGAGAAUUAUGAGAGAAAACCAAACAACGGCACAGCAGAGCCACUACAAACCCGCAGACCCGCGAUACCAGCGGAAUCGGCCUUCGCCGUGCCCGGCAAUCUUUGCAGCAGACCCUGCAUCUCUUCCACACCCUCGAAGGCUGCUUUAAAGUUUCAUCCCCUCCUUAAGCCCUUUCUCCACUGUCUCUCUGCCAACUCUUCAUGGAUGAACUGGCUUCUAAGCUGAAGGUUGGUGCCCUCAGGAAGGAACUUCCCCAACAAUGCAUGUGGCGGAGGCCUCUCCUUCUGUGCCCAGGGACACUGCCUUCUGUCCACCUCCUUUCAUCCAAGGCUAACUCCUCCAAUGGAGCUCAGCACCCUAACCCUUUCUCUUUCGUAAGGACCUCCCUCUUCUUCAGAGGUUCUAACUGGAUUCUCACCUCAACCUUCACUUUACUCUAAACCUGCCCUGAUCAAUUCGGUAGCCACGAGCCACAUGUAGCAGUGUAAACGUAAACUUAAAUAAAAUGAAGUAAAAUUAGAAAGCCAGUUCCUGAGUUGUACUAGCUUCCUGGGGCAAGUGGCUACUGUGUCGGACAGUGCAAAGUGCAUCUCCACUGCCUGUCCUUUAUACGUGAUCCACUCCUUGGAUGACCUCUUAUUCAUCCCCAAAGCUUUAAACCACAUGUAUACCCCUGACCUUAAUUUCUCCCUUACAUAAAGACAGUAGAGUCUAAGUAUUUUUUUUUUCUUUUUUUUUUAGAGCUGCACCCAAGGCAUAUGGAGGUUCCCAGGCUAGGGGUCUAAUUGGAGCUGAAGUUGCCGGCCUUCGCCACAGCCACAGCAACUUGG
Non-coding RNA from Sus scrofa (pig), 3392 nucleotides. The record is from RefSeq and is a predicted model, not a curated record. NCBI's taxonomy places the organism in Eukaryota, Metazoa, Chordata, Mammalia, Artiodactyla, Suidae.